RNAcentral lists this ribosomal RNA (492 nucleotides) under uncultured bacterium. RNAcentral's name for it is "partial 16S ribosomal RNA". It matches the Rfam family "Bacterial small subunit ribosomal RNA", at positions 29 to 507 of the family's 1533-position model. The record is from RNAcentral.
AGUGAACGCUGGCGGUAGGCCUAACACAUGCAAGUCGAACGGCAGCACAGUAAUCGCUUGCUCUUACGGGUGGCGAGUGGCGGACGGGUGAGGAAUACAGCGGAAUCUACUUUUUCGUGGGGGAUAACGUAGGGAAACUUACGCUAAUACCGCAUACGACCUACGGGUGAAAGCAGGGGAGCUUCGGACCUUGGGCGAUUGAAUGAGCCGAUGCCGGAUUAGCUAGUUGGCGGGGUAAAGGCCCACCAAGGCGACGAUCCGUAGCUGGUCUGAGAGGAUGAUCAGCCACACUGGAACUGAGACACGGUCCAGACUCCUACGGGAGGCAGCAGUGGGGAAUAUUGGACAAUGGGCGCAAGCCUGAUCCAGCAAUACCGCGUGGGUGAAGAAGGCCUUCGGGUUGUAAAGCCCUUUUGUUGGGAAAGAAAAGCAGCAGGUUAAUACCCCGCUGUUCUGACGGUACCCAAAGAAUAAGCACCGGCUAACUUCGUG